Molecule: ribosomal RNA, 198 nt
Filed under: uncultured bacterium
Lineage: Bacteria
Description: partial 16S ribosomal RNA
Rfam family: Bacterial small subunit ribosomal RNA
Source: RNAcentral
ACGCUCGACACCUACGGGAGGCAGCAGUGGGGGAUAUUGCACAAUGGGGGGAACCCUGAUGCAGCAACGCCGCGUGAGGGAAGAAGGUUUUCGGAUUGUAAACCUCUGUCUUUGGUGACGAUAAUGACGGUAGCCAAGGAGGAAGCUCCGGCUAACUACGUGCUAGCAGCCGCGGUAAUCUGAGCGGGCUGGCAAGGC